RNAcentral lists this ribosomal RNA (433 nucleotides) under uncultured bacterium. Its description in RNAcentral is "partial 16S ribosomal RNA". It matches the Rfam family "Bacterial small subunit ribosomal RNA", at positions 29 to 507 of the family's 1533-position model. The record is from RNAcentral.
AACGAACGCUGGCGGCAUGCCUAACACAUGCAAGUCGAACGAGACCUUCGGGUCUAGUGGCGCACGGGUGCGUAACGCGUGGGAACCUGCCCUUAGGUUCGGACUAACUCCCCGAAAGGGGUGCUAAUACCGGAUAAUGUCUUCGGACCAAAGGUUUAUCGCCUUUGGAUGGGCCCGCGUUGGAUUAGCUAGUUGGUAGGGUAAAAGCCUACCAAGGCGACGAUCCAUAGCUGGUCUGAGAGGAUGAUCAGCCACACUGGGACUGGGACACGGCCCAGACUCCUAGGGGAGGCAGCAGUGGGGAAUAUUGGACAAUGGGCGAGAGCCUGAGCCAGCAAGGCCGCGUGAGUGAUGAAGGCCUUAGGGUUGUAAAGCGCUUUUACCCGGGAUGAUAAUGACAGUACCGGGAGAAUAAGCUCCGGCUAACUCCGUG